CCUACGGGAGGCAGCAGUGGGGAAUAUUGCGCAAUGGGCGAAAGCCUGACGCAGCGACGCCGCGUGAGGGAUGAAGGUCUUCGGAUCGUAAACCUCUGUCAGCAGGGAAGAACGGUCACUGUGCUAAUCAGCAGUGAAUGGACGGUACCAGCAAAGGAAGCACCGGCUAACUCCGUGCCAGCAGCCGCGGUAAUACGGAGGGGGCGAGCGUUAAUCGGAAUUACUGGGCGUAAAGCGCUCGUCGGCGGUAUGUCAAGUCAAGGGUGAAAUCCCCGCGCUCAACGUGGGAACUGCCUUUGAAACUGUCACCCUGGAGUGUGUGAUCGGCUAGUGGACUUCCAGGUGUAGCAGU
This 352-nucleotide ribosomal RNA is filed under the name uncultured bacterium. RNAcentral describes it as "partial 16S ribosomal RNA". It matches the Rfam family "Bacterial small subunit ribosomal RNA", at positions 338 to 682 of the family's 1533-position model. The record is from RNAcentral.